AGAGCGAACGCUGGCGGCAGGCCUAAUACAUGCAAGUCGAACGGACCCUUCGGGGUUAGUGGCGGACGGGUGAGUAACACGUGGGAACGUGCCCUUUGGUUCGGAACAACUCAGGGAAACUUGAGCUAAUACCGGAUGUGCCCUUCGGGGGAAAGAUUUAUCGCCAUUGGAGCGGCCCGCGUCUGAUUAGCUAGUUGGUGGGGUAAAGGCCCACCAAGGCUACGAUCAGUAGCUGGUCUGAGAGGAUGAUCAGCCACACUGGGACUGAGACACGGCCCCAGACUCCUACGGGAGGCAGCAGUAGGGAAUCUUGCGCAAUGGGCGAAAGCCUGACGCAGCCAUGCCGCGUGAAUGAUGAAGGUCUUAGGAUUGUAAAAUUCUUUCAGCGGGGACGAUAAUGACGGUACCCGCAGAAGAAGCCCCGGCUAACUUCGUGCCAGCAGCCGC
This 447-nucleotide ribosomal RNA is filed under the name uncultured bacterium. RNAcentral describes it as "SSU rRNA". It matches the Rfam family "Bacterial small subunit ribosomal RNA", at positions 26 to 518 of the family's 1533-position model. The record is from RNAcentral.